This 468-nucleotide ribosomal RNA is filed under the name uncultured bacterium. Its description in RNAcentral is "partial 16S ribosomal RNA". It matches the Rfam family "Bacterial small subunit ribosomal RNA", at positions 28 to 507 of the family's 1533-position model. The record is from RNAcentral.
GACGAACGCUGGCGGCGUGCUUAACACAUGCGAGUCGAACGGAAAGGCCCUGCUUUUGUGGGGUGCUCGAGUGGCGAACGGGUGAGUAACACGUGAGUAACCUGCCCUUGACUUUGGGAUAACUUCAGGAAACUGGGGCUAAUACCGGAUAGGAGCUCCUGCUGCAUGGUGGGGGUUGGAAAGUUUCGGCGGUUGGGGAUGGACUCGCGGCUUAUCAGCUUGUUGGUGGGGUAGUGGCUUACCAAGGCUUUGACGGGUAGCCGGCCUGAGGGGGUGACCGGCCACAUUGGGACUGAGAUACGGCCCAGACUCCUACGGGAGGCAGCAGCGGGGAAUAUUGCACAAUGGGCGGAAGCCUGAUGCAGCAACGCCGCGUGCGGGAUGACGGCCUUCGGGUUGUAAACCGCUUUCGCCUGUGACGAAGCGUGAGUGACGGUAAUGGGUAAAGAAGCACCGGCUAACUACGUG